GGUGUGAAAAACUCCGGUGGUAUGGGAUGGACCCGCGUCUGAUUAGCCAGUUGGCAGGGUAACGGCCUACCAAAGCGACGAUCAGUAGCCGACCUGAGAGGGUGACCGGCCACAUUGGGACUGAGACACGGCCCAAACUCCUACGGGAGGCAGCAGUGGGGAAUAUUGCACAAUGGGGGAAACCCUGAUGCAGCGACGCCGCGUGAGCGAAGAAGUAUUUCGGUAUGUAAAGCUCUAUCAGCAGGGAAGAAGAAUGACGGUACCUGACUAAGAAGCACUGGCUAAAUACGUGCCAGCAGCCGCGGUAAUACGUAUGGUGCAAGCGUUAUCCGGAUUUACUGGGUGUAAAGGGAGCGCAGGCGGUGCGGCAAGUCUGAUGUGAAAGCCCGGGGCUCAACCCCGGUACUGCAUUGGAAACUGUCGUACUAGAGUGUCGGAGGGGUAAGUGGAAUUCCUAGUGUAGCGGUGAAAUGCGUAGAUAUUAGGAGGAACACCAGUGGCGAAGGCGGCUUACUGGACGAUAACUGACGCUGAGGCUCGAAAGCGUGGGGAGCAAACAGGAUUAGAUACCCUGGUAGUCCACGCCGUAAACGA
RNAcentral lists this ribosomal RNA (594 nucleotides) under uncultured bacterium. Its description in RNAcentral is "bacterial SSU rRNA". It matches the Rfam family "Bacterial small subunit ribosomal RNA", at positions 196 to 809 of the family's 1533-position model. The record is from RNAcentral.